UAUGAUCAGAUUGACGCUGGCGGCAGGCUYAACACAUGCAAGUCGAGCGGGAGAAGGUAGCUUGUUACUGGACACAGCGGCGGACGGGUUAGUUAUGCUUAGGGAUAUGCCUAUUAGUAGGGGGACAACAUCUUGAAAGCGAUACUUAUUCCGCAUACAUCCURCGGGAGCAAGCAGGGGAUCUUCGGACCUUGCUCUCAUAGAGGAUCCUAAGUCGGAUUAACUAGUUGGUGGGGUAAAGGCCUACCAAGGCGACGAUCUUUAACGGGUUUGAGAGGAAGAUCCACCACCAUGGGAAUGAGACACGGCCCAAAUUCCUUCGGGAGGCAACAGUGGGGAAUAUUGGACAAAGGGCGCAAACCUGAUCCAACCAUUCCGGGUGUGGGAAGAAGGCCUUAUGGUUGUAAAACACUUUAAACGAGGAGGAGGGUACUUUAGAUAAUACCCAGAGAUAGUGGACGUUACUCGCAGAAUAAGCACCGGCUAACUCUGUGCCAGCAGCCGCGGUAAUACAGAGGGUGCAAGCGUUAAUCGGAUUUACUGGGCGUAAAGCGCGCGCAGGCGGUUAAUUAAGUCAAAUGUGAAAUCCCCGAGCUUAACUUGGGAAUUGCAUUCGAUACUGGCUAGCUAGAGUGUGGGAGAGGAUGGUAGAAUUCCAGGUGUAGCGGUGAAAUGCGUAGAGAUCUGGAGGAAUACCGAUGGCGAAGGCAGCCAUCUGGCCUAACACUGACGCUGAGGUGCGAAAGCAUGGGGAGCAAACAGGAUUAGAUACCCUGGUAGUCCAUGCCGUAAACGAUGUCUACUAGCCGUUGGUGCCUUUGAGGCGUUAUUGUCGCAGCUAACGCGAUAAGU
Molecule: ribosomal RNA, 852 nt
Filed under: Enterobacter sp.
Lineage: Bacteria; Pseudomonadati; Pseudomonadota; Gammaproteobacteria; Enterobacterales; Enterobacteriaceae
Description: bacterial SSU rRNA
Source: RNAcentral